RNAcentral lists this ribosomal RNA (446 nucleotides) under uncultured bacterium. RNAcentral describes it as "bacterial SSU rRNA". It matches the Rfam family "Bacterial small subunit ribosomal RNA", at positions 355 to 825 of the family's 1533-position model. The record is from RNAcentral.
UCGGGAAUUUGGGCAAUGGGCGAAAGCCUGACCCAGCAACGCCGCGUGAAGGAUGAAGUAUUUCGGUAUGUAAACUUCGUAAGAAUAGGAAGAAUAAAUGACGGUACUAUUUGUAAGGUCCGGCUAACUACGUGCCAGCAGCCGCGGUAAUACGAAGGGGGCUAGCGUUGUUCGGAUUUACUGGGCGUAAAGCGCGUGUAGGCGGGUCGUUAAGUUGGGGGUGAAAUCCCGAGGCUCAACCUCGGAACUGCCUUCAAAACUGGCGACCUGGACCUAAGUAGAGGCAAGUGGAAUUGCGAGUGUAGAGGUGAAAUUCGUAGAUAUUCGCAGGAACACCAGUGGCGAAGGCGACUUGCUGGACUUAUGGUGACGCUGAGACGCGAAAGCGUGGGGAGCAAACAGGAUUAGAUACCCGAGUAGUCCCUGAGCGGGCUGGCAAGGCGCAU